GCCGCUUUAGCUCAGGCUGGCAGAGCACCGGAUUUGUAACCCGGGGGGCGUUGGUUCAAGUCCAACAGACGGCACCA
This 77-nucleotide transfer RNA is filed under the name Faecalibacterium prausnitzii. RNAcentral's name for it is "tRNA-Thr". It matches the Rfam family "tRNA". Rfam says of the family: Transfer RNA (tRNA) molecules are approximately 80 nucleotides in length. The record is from RNAcentral. Lineage: Bacteria; Bacillati; Bacillota; Clostridia; Eubacteriales; Oscillospiraceae.